This 25700-nucleotide long non-coding RNA is filed under the name Citrus maxima (pomelo). RNAcentral describes it as "long non-coding RNA (CMAX_LNC001889)". Lineage: Eukaryota; Viridiplantae; Streptophyta; Magnoliopsida; Sapindales; Rutaceae. The record is from RNAcentral.
CUGGAAAAUGAGGCCUGGAUGCAAAGACAACAUCAUGGGUUUUCAUAACCUCUUUGGCAACCUCUGGGGAAGAUACAAUAAUGGUUGGAACUUCCCCGAGUUGUAAGAGCAUAAGAGGUCCAUAUUUCUUGCUCAAGUCUCUUAGUCCAUGAUGGGGUAGGGAGCCAGCAAGCUGGUACAAAUUUCCUAUAACAGGUAAUUUCCAUGGCCCUGGUGGUGGAUUUGAGAUUCUGUUAUUGGUUUGUGAUCUCUUCUCUAGUUUCAGCACAGCUAAGGCAGAGAGGAGAAUAGCCAGAAGGAUGGACGAGGUGGUAGACAGCCCAAGAAGCUCCAUGUGAAAUGAACUGGAGAAUGGGGAUAGAAUUUUUACUAGUCCGUUAGUAUAUCCACGUUGUGUAUCUUUUGUGGUCUUUCAUCAAAAAUAUCUUUAACUGGUAUUCUCUGUCGUGUUCUUCAUCAAAAAUAUCUUUAAUUAGUAUACAAUUUGAAAAGGUGAAGGACGUUGUUUGGUUGCAUUACCUGUGUCCUAUUCUGACACUUCCACAAUAAUAUGGCUAAAUAUCGGUUGGCCACUAUAAAAUAGAUGAGUAAUAUACCUCGAAUGUCACUGAAUAUUUCACUUUUAUCGAUUUAAAUGAUAUUUAUAGUAGAGCUGGCAAAACGGGUCAUCGGGUCGUGUUCGUGUCGUGUCAGCUUUGUGUCGUGUCAAAUUUAGGUCGACCCAAAUCCGACCCAUUUAAUAAUCGUGUCAAAAUAUUGAGACCCAAACCCGACACGGAAAAAUAAUCGGGUUACCCAAUAACCCGUUUAAUAUCUAUAUAUUGAACAAAAGUUACAUCAAAUAUUUACACACUAUCAUACAUACGUACGUAUAUAAAUACAUACAUACAUACAUACAUACAUACAUAAUUUAUCGAUAUUAUAAAAUAUACAUAUCUACCAAUAUAUUACACAUGUACACUAUUGAGGUUUUAAUUAUAUAUAUAUAUAUAUAUAUAUCAAUAUUAUAAAAUAUACAUGUCUAUCAAUUUUUACACAUUUACACUAUUGAAGCUCUAAAUGUAUGUAAAAUUUUAUAAAUAAAACAUUGUGUUUAUAUUCACCCUUUUAAAGAAUAAAAAAAAAAGAAAAUCAUCUCUAAUAUUUGAGUUUUAAUUAUAAGAAUAUGUAAAUUAUUUUAAAAUAGAAAAUAUAAUCGGGUCAUUGAUCGGGUAAAUGGGUCAAGAAUUUUAACCCAAACCCGACACGGAAAAAAAUCGUGUUGACCCGGACCCGACCCAUUUAAUAAUCAUGUUAAAUUUGACGACCCAUACCCAUUUAUUUAUGUCGUGUUCGUGUCGGGUAAUCGGGUCGUGUCAAAUUUUGCCAGCUCUAAUUUAUAGUAUAAAAUCUUUAUAAUAUAGGAAGUAUAAAUAAUAAAGGGCUAAGAGAAAUAAGCCAUGAAAAUAAUGCUUUUAUUCUUCUUAUGCAUAGCCCUGGGCCCAGCAAUCGCACAAAUCAAGUGAUUAUUGCCCAUAUAAACAGUGAUUUGUGACGAAUGAAAGUUAGCCACAUGUAAAUACAAGUUACCACAUCUAAUCUAAUUUCUUAUAUGCGAUUUAACAAAACAGCUGUAACAGUAUUGGCACUUCAACUAGCUCAGCUAAUUAGCUAAUAUGAACUGGUGGGCUGAUGAAUCGAGUAAGACGAGGUCAUGCAUGGAAGCGGUGUGCGCCUGGUAGAAAGCCACCAUUUUCAUAACAAUUCAUUUAUUUAGUCUUUGUGACAUCAAACACCUUACGCCACCAACCUUCUACGUUAUUGGAUCAAGUGUCGGGAAAUCAAAACCUCUCUGGUUGUUAAUAAAUCACAACACAAGGUUAAAACUAGGAUAUUUUAACAUGGAGAACUGCUAUGAAAAUUUGUCAAAAGGAAAUAAAGAACUCUUUUGAAUGAGUAUGAUACAUUCGAAUACAAUCAAGUAAGUAAUUAUCACAAUAAAAAAUAUUAACACUCUCAACAAUCUUUAAAAUAAAAAAUCCCAACAAAUCCAUCUCGACGAAUAUUCCAUAUAAGCAUUUCUAAGAAUCUCAGGUAUGUGAAAUCCCAAACUCCACCACCAAUUAAAUAAAUUAUAGAAACAUUAAUCUAGGUCAAUGAAAAUAAAUAUGUAAAAUAAAUAAAUGUCCACAGCAUAGAGAUUUUUAUGAGGAAACUUUUGGUCCCACAAUCUAGAGUGAAAACCAUAGCACAUGAUUAUAUCCAUGUGUUGAUGAAAUAAUUCAUUAUGAAAAUAAUGUGAGUUCACAAUGGAUGGACUAAAUUCGAAUGCGUCAACACUCACCAUCCUCAUAAAUUUUCCUCCGCUUGAAUUGAGCGUCAAAAUGACCUCAGGAGAUAAGGAUAAGAGUAAUAGGAUAAUGGAUGUGGGAGUAUUUGGAUUUAAUACCUUCAAGCUCAAAGACCUCGCAUUAAUGAACUUGAUGAAGUUAAAGAUGAGAGAAGAAAUAAAGACUAAUUUGAUUCUUCGUGUCUAAAAAUAACAUCCAUUCAUCCAUCUAGAACUCAAAAAUAUUGAAAUGAUCAUUUUUCUCCUAAACCUAUUAUGAAUAGUUUUUAACACAGGAUUUAACAAGCCUUGAUAUAUUGGGCAUUUCACACUAGAUUUUCUCGAAAAUUAACUCCACUUGAACUCCACUCAAGUAUAAUUUUCUUUUUUACACUUUUGUUUAUUAUUUUUUUCCUUAGUGAGUUUAGGUGGUAUUUAUUUUUGGGGUGCAUAUUACUUUUCUUUGACAAGGUGGUGCAUCUACCCAAUAAUGACCUAUAAUUUAGCAUGUCUAAUGUGUUCUUGAACGGGACACACAAAUUUUUAAUUUUAAAAUUAAAAAUAAAAUUUAUGAAUUUGUGAAUCCCAUUUGACCGACACACCACCUCAAUAUGGCGAAACAUAUGUUGUCUCAUUUACCAUACACUAACCUAUGACAUGGUCAUGGUAUACGAAGCAAAAAAUAAUGAUAAUAAUAAUAAUAAUUAAAAAAAGCUUGCAAACUGAAACUACAAUGAUUUAAUAAGCAUGUGAAAUGUUCAGUAAUUAAGUUCCAACUUUCAUGCUAAGGAUGGCAAUGGAUCAGAUCUGACCCAAGAUCCAUUGUGAUUCAAAUCCAAUUGGAUCGGAUUUGGGUCGGAUUAAAAUGGAUUUGGAUCGGAUUUGGAUAUCGAUGCAUGGAUCUAAGGCGGAUCUGGAGCAAAUUCGGAUCUAUCUUAAUAUCUAUAUCCAAAUCCAUAUCCACUCACCAUUUAAUGUAAUUUUAUUUUAAAAAAUUCUUAACAAUUAUAUAAUUAUAAAUGAUGAUAAAAUUUAUUCAUUAGCAUAUAUUUAAGAAUUUUAAAAUUUAAAGGUACUUAAUUGAUAAUAAGACAAAAAUUUAUCAAGUAUAAAAUAAAAUUAGGAUAGUCUACCCUAAUUUUUUUUAAGUUUUUCACUCUACAAUUUAGUCUCUUUUUUCCUCUUUAGUCUACUCUCGCUUCUCCACUUCAUUUGAAUGCUUGGAUCAGUUCUUUAAUUGUUAGGAAAAUCCAUAGACUUGAGUUUAUUUUUCUAUCAUUUUCUCAUAAUCUUAUUUAUUUUGUAUAAUCACUAAUCAAUGGUGGCUAUCAACUAUAAAAUAAUUAUGUUAAUCAUAUAUUUAGUUAAAUAUGAUCAUAAUAAAAAUAAUAAAGCACUGAAUAUAAUAAAUCAUUUUUAACUUAUAUGUUAUUAUUUAAUUAUAUAGGAAUGAUGAUGGUGUGCAGUAGAUAUCAAGAUAGUAAAUGAGACAUUAGAAUAUUAUAAUGAUCUUAUUCAUGCAAUUACUUUUUAUCGAUAUUUUAUUAUGUUUCUUAUUUGUUUAUUUUGGUGUAAAAGUAGAAGCUAAAAUACUUAUUAGAUUUUUUGUACAAAUUAUAUAAUUUAAUUGUUACCAAUGCAUUUCAGUCUUAAAUUUUCUUUCUAAAAAAAAUUGAUCUCUUAUUAUUGAGAUUUAGAAUUCAUGAUGGAUCUAGAGCAGAUUUGGAUUUUAAUUUUUCAAUUUGGAUUUGGAGCAGAUAUAGAUCUUUAUUUUUUGUUUCGGAUCUAGAUAUGGAGCGAAAAAUAUAGAUCCAUAACAGAUCUGGAGCAGAUACGGAUCUUAAUUUUUAUUACGGAUCUGGAUCUGGAGUAAUAUAGAUCCAAUCCAUAUCCGCUCCAUUGCCAUCCCUAUUUCAUGCACACAUCUACUGAUAUAGAAGGCAUACAAACAAAGGGAACACUGAGACCUGUAGGACAUCAAAUGCAACACUUAAUGAGAUUCGCUACAUGGCUGCAGUUUUGCCCCUUGCCACUUAUUCAACAGUAGGCGACCAAUGAUAAGGAAUGGGGAUGAUGUGUAGAUCAUCUUUUCUUCUACUAAAUAUUUCUCUCACCUCAGCUCGUGCCUUUUUAAUUAUUGUAGGAUUUUUCAUCAUUUCGCUCAUUGCCCAAUCUACAAUUGUGGCAGAUGCAUCGCUGCCAGCAGUAAAAACGUCCUGAAAUAGGAUUUAUCAUUUGUGUAUAUGCACGAGUGAAUUAAACCAUUAUGCAGUACUAUUUUGUUUCAAAGCACUAUAUAUGCAACUUGCAUUCAACUAAGAAUACAAUGAAAAACAAACUAUAAAAAUUAUUUAGUUAAAAGCACGGUCCCCACGGUUUUUGUCACCAAGUACUAUUUCGAGAAUAAAGUAUCGUAAGGCCCAAAAUAAAUGAUAAAGACUUUUUUUUUUUGUUUUUUUUGCUCUUGUGUACUCAAUGAAAAACCUAGGAUCUGAUCUUAAUUAAGAAGCUACUCCAAGCUAGACCUUGGAUAUUAAUUGUAUUUUCAAAAAAACUAAUAACCGCUUUUUAUUAUUUUCAUUAAAUUUAGGCCUUUUUAUGUUCACAAAAAAAUAAUUAUUCUUAUAUUAAAAAUAUAUCAUUUGAAAUAUAAUACCAAAAACGCCAUUAAUAACUGAAAUAAAUUAUCUCCUGCGUUCGGGGUUUUUCCAAAAAAGGGGGAAAAAAAAAAGAACAAGCUUGUUGUAAUUAAUUACUUGCAGUUAUAACUACUUUGAUGUUUUCAGUACUUAAGUGAAAUUGAUCGUGACCACCAAGUUCUUGAAUUUUCAGAAGAAUAACAACAAGAUCUUAAUCUUCUUCAGUCUUCGAAAUCUGCAAUGAUGCCUUGCCCUUCCUAUGAUCAUUGAUAAUGUUUUCAAUAAUCCUGUCAACUUUUUGGUGCACCCUCUCCGCCCCUGACCUGAUUCCACUCAUCGAUUCAAGUAAUCCAAUUCAAGGAAACAAUCUUAAGAUUUCCUUCACCCACUUCCACAAAUAGUUCUUGAUCUUUGCAUUUGUUCCCAAAGGCAGCGCUUGAAGUGAUACAAUACAUCAAUGAGCUAACUUCAUCACUUAAGUUAAUCACUGAUCCUGCUCUUGAAUCAAUCAAUUUAAUGAGAUUAGAAACUUCUUCAUUGAUAAUGUUUUCAAUAAUCCUGUCAACUUUUUGGUGCACCCUCUCCGCCCCUGACCUGAUUCCACUCAUCGAUUCAAGUAAUCCAAUAGAAGGAAACAAUCUUAAGAUUUCCUUCACCCACUUCCACAAAUAGUUCUUGAUCUUUGCAUUUGUUCCCAAAGGCAGCGCUUGAAGUGAUACAAUACAUCAAUGAGUUAACUUCAUCACUUAAGUUAAUCACUGAUCCUGCUCUUGAAUCAAUCAAUUUAAUGAGAUUAGAAACUUCUUCUUCCCUUAUUGAUCAGAAAGAUUGGACCCUUUUUAUGCUUAAAAGCUCCGAAAUGCAGAUUUUUCUAAGUUGUCUCCAAUAAUCACCAUAUGGUGAAAAGAUUACGUCACUAUAAUCAUAAGACAUGAUUUUGGCUGCUACAUCUUGACGCCUUGAUGCAAAUAUGACAUCAUGUGUUUCAUCACUUCUUUUGCAAAUUCCGGGGAAGAUACAAGGAUGGUACAAACUUCUCCGAGUUGAAGGUCCAUAAUAGGUCCAUAUUUUUUUGCCAAGCCUCUUCAAGCUCGAUGGGGUAGGGACCCAACAAGCUGGUGCAUAUUUCCGAUGAUAGGUAGUUUCCAUGGUCCCAGGGGUAGAUUGGGAAUUUUGUUUUUGUUAUUAGAUUUCUUCCCAAAUUUCAGGAAGCAAUAAAAGAGAGAAGAAAGGCAAGAAGGAUAGAUAAGAAAAAGGAGAAUCCAAGCGCCAUUUGAAAAUUAGAGGAUUAGGGGAAUGUUAUUAGUUAGUAGAAAUGUUUUUCUUUGAUAUACAAUUAAGUUCUUGAUCUCGGGGGUCUUUCCUCAUGAAUAUCGUGGGGAAAUAAAAUUAAUAAUAAUUGCUUUCUUUUUUAUUAAAUCAAAGGAUUGGUUAAUCUCUAUUUAUAGUCGAGCCGGAUUUGUUACUAGUUACUCCGUUAGUUUUAGGGCAGUGUAAUUCUAGUACUGAGCUGUUCUAGGUUGUUUCAGAGGUGCAAUAUUUAUUUUUACCAAAGCAUGAUUUUAGGAUUUAUCAUGUCUCAAGGAAGUGUAAUCAAGCUGCUGAUGGGUAUCUAAAUUUGCUCUCUUAGCUGCUGUAAUUUUCUUGUAUAAGUGGAAAAUUUUCCAUAAUAUUUAUGCUAUCAUCUUUGAAAUUCUAUUUCUUGAAAUAAAGUUGUUUUUCGUUUUUAUUAAAUAAAUUUCACUUAUUAAAAAAAUAUUUCUUGAAAUUAAGAGUUCUAAUUUAAAAAAAGCAAACGGCUAAUUUUAAGGCAGUAUUUUAAUUUCCUAAAAAAAUAAUAUUUUUUUAAAUCCAUUUGGCCAAUUGGCCUUGUAUGUAUGUCAUGGGGUCACAUCGUGUUUUGGAGAUUAUACUUAAUUUUAACCUAUUCAAAGAUAUUUGUCUCUGUCCUAUAUUUGGAAAAACAAAUAAAAAAUAAAAUGUGCUGUUGCAAAAGAUUGAGUCUUAUAUGGCUGCUCUGGGACCGGAUUUCUGCUGUAUCUUUCAUAAUAUAAUUAAAGAGAGGAGCCCCCUACAUUAUGUACAUACGUUAAUUGUAACGUACAUCCACACACAGCAACAGUACUCAUAGUAUGAUAUGCUACUGUUGUUGUGUGUGGCGUACAUUACGAUUAACGUAACGUAACACUGGCCUUAAAGAGAAUUCGUAAAGUGCAAAGGUUAUUUGAAUUUUUUUUAAGAACAAUAAAGUAAAAGAAUAAAGAAUAUUUCCAUGAAAUAAUUAACUUUAUAAAUUUUUAGAGCAUUCAUGUAUAAAAAUAAAAAAUAAAAAACUACAAGGUUAAGGUUCAAUUUGAAAUAAAUGUGCCCAAGUGGAAGCAGCAUAGGUGAAUCAUCGUGAGUGCAUGCUAAAAAGAAUAAGAAGAAGAAUUUAUGAAUUCAUAAAUAGUAUCCAUAAAUUAUAAAAUCUCUUAUUUUAAGUGACAAAUAAUAUCUUGAUUGCGAAGGAAAUAUCUCAAAAUAUAAAUUUAGGAUCCAAACUUGAUCCUCAGGCUGGCUGAUGUUGAACGAUGCGUGUAAAAAUAAAAUUGCCAAGCAUUAAGCCAAAUGCAAUUGAACGUGGACAGCCAAAUGCAAUUAGUUUCAUCAUCAUCACAUAAAUAUUUUCAAUGAUGGUUACUUCUUAAUUAUCAUCGUCGUGAUCGCAAUCACUUAAAACGUGCCGGAAAAGUAUCAAAAACAUAGAAAAUUAGAUCAGUCAGGGAAAAAAAUUAAACAGUACAAAACAAGACAAGCAGAAAGAACAACUCUUUGAUGAAACCCUUGACAUACCCUUAAAUUAAUCAAUAAAACCUUUUGGUUUGCAUUAUUAAAAUAUUUUAGAAAAUUGAAUCAGUCGCGGGAGACCGCCGGUACCCUGUAGGGGGAAAAAAACCAAUUCAAAAUAAAUAAGAAACGAUAACUCUUGUUGAAACCUUUUAACUUUUGGCCUUAAAUUAAUCAAUAAAAUUAACUUUUGGGUUUCAUUAUUAAAUUAUUUUGCUGUCCUACCGACCAGGAUGUAAACAUUUCCUGAAGUAUCUGUAAGGUCACAGUGGUGCGGGAAAACAAGAAAAUACAUUUUUUUAGUGGGAAAAAUAAAUUUAUCUAAGACGUGCGCAGAUCUAUUAGCAGCAGUACUCAGGGACGAAGUUAGGAACUUUUUUUCUAGCUUGGGCUAGAUUAAUUUUUUUCAAGUGAAAAAAAAAAUAAAACUUUCAAGUAAAGCCGUUAAAUCAAAGCAUACCCUUAGAGCAACACUUUUUGGGUUUGAGAAAUACCUUGUGAAUUAAGUUUAUUUAACAAUAAAAACUAUCAACUUUAAAAAUGUGACUAUGGUAACUUAUGGAUACUAUACUCCCCGACGUGACACUGUUAGAUGAUUUUAGUUUGUUGAUUUUUAAUAACUUUUUAAUUAUACGAUGCUCAAAUUGUAGGGUACAUUAUUCUUAAAAAAUCGUAGAGACUCCUAUUUUAAAGAAUUAAAAGUCAAAUUAGUAAUAAAUAUUUUACCAUCACAAGCAUAUUUGAAACAUAAUAAAAAAUUUUAAAACAAGAUAGAGUGAGAAAGAAGAAGUUAGGAAAAAUGACAGUUGCCAAUUGUUAAGAUAUAUUAAGCGAUGAACACGUAAGUAAUAUUGUGGCAAUUGUGUAAAUAUAACAUUGGCAUUUUUGUUAAUAACGUAUGGUAAUUUUGUGAAAUUACAACACCAGUAUUGUAGAAAAAAAAAAUUACCAAAUUGUAGCUAGGAUAUGGCCCAUCCCUAUCGAUGAGUAGCUUUGCCCUUGGCAGUACUUGUACUGAAAUAAGCAUGAUUUCAAUGCGUGUCAGUACAAACGAAGGAAAAUAAUAAUAAUAAUAAUAAUAAAUAAAUAAAUAAAAUUAAAUGGGAAAUAGAGGUGUAAGGAUGAAAAAUGCAUGAGCCUCUAUUUGUAUUAAUGAAUAUAGAGAAAUUAAAGACCUAUAGUGGGAUGAAGUUUCUUUGAAUUAAAAUUGAAUAAAUCGACUGUAUUUAUUAUAUUGCAUUAAAUAUUAGUAGUAAUAUCAUAUGGUGUUACGAUGUUAACUAAAACAUUCACAUAAUUAAUUUUAUUUUUUUUUCGUGUUACUUUUUCAAGUUUAUAGUUUAUAUGGUUAUUUUCUCUUUUGUUUUAACCAUCAUCCUAUAUUUUUACUAUAGAAAAGGUAAUGCCCUGAGUCAUGUCCUCUAAUGAAAUUAGAUAGAAUUUAGAUUAGAUAUAUCAUAAAUGGGAAUAGAUUUUGAUUCUAUUAAAAGAUAAACAAUAAAAAAACGGAAGACAUUUAACUUAUUGAGAAGAGAGGGUUUUUUAAAAUCUAUUGAAGAUAUAAGUGGUAAAAGUAAUUAUUUUACUGGGACCAAAGUGUCAUUCCUCAAUAAAAGUAUGGGAAUAUAACAAUUCUUCGCUCCGAAGAAGAAUUUAUUGGUUUACACUCCAAUUGUGCUUGCUUAGAAUUUAGCCAAACACCUUACAUGCAAAUGUGUCUAGCUUUACGGUUGUAGCUAGUAAAUUUUCUAUGUUUCUGAUAAUAAGAGAUUUUAUAGCUAGAAACACAUCUGAAAUAUGAAAACCCGUAAAUUUUCCGAUUUAAUUUUCUAUUUUUUUUAUGGUGGGAGAAAAUUUACGGGUGCCCGACUGGAGGAUAAGCUAAAAGCAUAUCUGAAAUAUUAAGUCUCCGUUUGGUACAACUUUUAAAGUAUAAUUUAUUUAAAUAUAACUUUUCUAAAUAGAGUUUUUACUAAAAAAAAGUUUAGUUGUUUGGUUGUCAAUAAGAACUUUUAUUAAAAUUUUAUGAAAUUACUUUAAUAGGCAACUUUUUUAAAGUUAUAUUAUGAAAAGAAUAAAUAAGAUUGUCAAAUAAGUAGAGGAUAUUUUAGAUAUUUUGACAUUUAAAAAAAAAAUUCAACCUCUAUUCCCAAAAGCCCAAAAUUUGAGCUUUUGCUAGUAAAUGUAUAUUUAAGCUUCAAAAGCUCUAUUAGAAAAACAACCAAACAACAACAAAAAUUAUAAUAAAAACUUAUCAAAUUAAAUAAGCACUUAUAGUUAUUAAAUAAGUCAUAGCAAACAUGCACUAAAACCCGCUGCCACUCUUAUAGUUUCUUCUAUAAAUGAGACAAACGGUUCUUGUUCUCUAGAUUUCUUCCCAAAGGCUGCCCUUGAGGUGAUACCACACAUUAAUGAGUAAACUUUUUCAAUAAAGUUAAUCGCAGAUCCUCCCUUCGAAGAAAUCCAAUUAAUAAGAUUAGUAACCUCCUCUUCUCUUUUUGAUCGGAAAGAUUGCACACGUUUGGUGCUUAAGAGCUCGGACACACUGAUUCUUCCUAGUUGUUUCCAAGAUUCACAAUUUGGUGAAAAGAUUAUAUCACCAUAAUUAUAAGAAAGGAUUUGUGUUGUUUGAACAUGAAGUCUUGAUGCAAAGAAAACAUCAUGGGUAACUUCUUUAGCAACUUGUUGGGAAGAUACAACAAUGGUGUGAACUUGUCCGAGUUGUAGGAGCAUAAGAGGUCCAUAUUUCUUGGCCAAGUCUCUUAGCUCGAGGUGCGGUAGAGAGCCAACGAUCUGGUGCAAAUUUCCUAGGACAGGUAGUUUCCACGGCCCUGGUGGAGGUAGAUUUGGAGUUCUGUGAUUGGUUUUGAAUUUCUGCACUAAUUUCAGCAAAGUGUAGGCAAACAGAAAGAAGGGGCAAGAAGGGAGAAUCCAAGUUCCAUGUGUAAAGAAGAAGACAUUGCGGGUAAGAUUUUAUGUUUAGCCAGUUAGUAGAAUUGUAUUUCAUAUCGGCUUGUGUUAUGUUAUAUAUUGUUUUUUUUCUCGUAAAAAAAAAAAAAAUCAGAAUGUCCUUAAAUAAAAUCACUUAUAGGAAAUUAAUAUUGCUUUAAUUUGGUUUUUUUUUUUUGAAAGAGAAAGUACGGCAUAGCACAAUCACACUUCAUCAAGGCACGAAGCAUGUCACAGCACACAUGCAGGCUGAGUUGGACUUAAAUUCUUUUGCACAUGGGUUUUAAAGCACAGCAUAAUUUGAGAUGAAAGCACAACAUAAUAUGAGAUGAGUUAAAGUAAUGUGUAUGAAAAAAGUUCGUAAAAAGUACGGUUCAAGUUUUGUGACUAAAUUUUAUUUGAAUUAUAUACUACUACAUAUUGUUUAAAUAAAUAAAGAAAUUUGAAUUGAGCAACAUUAAAUCUAAUAACAUGUCAUUCUAUUUUAGUUUAAAAGAAUUUUUAUGAUUAAAUUUAAUAAUAAUAAUAAUAAUAAUAAAAAAGUCAAGACAAGCAUUUUGAUAAAGACAAAGUUUUAUGAUAAUUUGUCAAAAAGCUUGACAAAUUGGUAAAACAUGUUGACAUAUUGGCCAAAGUUUAGGCAUCGAAUACAACACAUACCAAUCAUCUUGACGAUUUGCCAGAGGUAGGUGCAAUAGUGCAAUUUUGCACUCCUAUAAAUAGAGAACCAAUCUUCACUUGUAUGCAUCCCAAUAUUUAAGAGAGCAACAAUUCAAUUGUAAAAUUGUUAAGAGAGUGACAAUUCAAUUGUAAAAUUUUUAAGAGAGUGAGCAAUUGAAAAGCGUGUAAUUGAGAGGUUUUUCCUUUCAAGUGUGUGAGAGUAUUGUGUGUAUUUAGGUUUUGGGAAGUGGGGUUUUCUUUACUUAAAUAUUGUACUCUAAUAAUUGUUAAUGAUACAAUUAUUUUUUCUUUCUCCCAUGGACGUAGACAUAUUGCCCAACCACGUUAAAUUUUGUGUUUUUUAUUUUUUUUAUAAUUAUUUAGUGCACUUGAUUGUGCCUUUUGCGCACAACAAAUAAUAAUAUCAAAAAGUAAACUCAUCAUGAGAACCGCUUUAUUGUUAUCAGUUGUUAAGGGACGGACAUUGAACGUCUGCAUGUUCCUCAAUAUCUAAAAGAACAUUACAAGAGCAUGUGCUUCACCCAUUGCCUUGAAUGCUCUUUGGUCAUUGAUGAUGUUUCCAAAUAUCUUAUCUGCUUUUUCAUGCAUCCUCUUAGUUUCAGACGUCAUGCCACUAAGCAUCUCGAGCAAUUUUACUGAAGGGAGCAUAUCGGCAAGACUGAAAACUCCUCCAAGCUCUAUCAUUUACUGAAAAACUUCUCCUCUGUCUUUGUGUCUGCCACCGAAGGCCGACCUUGCAGUAACGUCAUUUGAUAAUGAAAAAAUCAUUUUAGUAAAGCUGAUCGGCAAUCCUGCGCUUGAAGAAGAAUUGAUGGAUCUAAUGAGAUUUGAUGCCUCUUCUACUCUUAUUGUGCGGUAUAAUUGCACACGUUUCAGAUUGAGCAUGUCUAAUGUGCAAAUUUUUUGCAGUUGUCUCCAGUACUCUUUAUAUUCUGCGCAAGCGAUAUUAAAAGUCCAAUACUAAUUUCAUGAUCCAAUUCAAUUACAUCUGUCUAAGCUUAAGUUCAAAGCCCAAUCUAUGGAAGAUUCAAAAAUUGCGUAGAGAAUGACAGAUAUUUCUAAUUUAAAAAUAGUUAAUGGAGAUAAAAGUAUAAGUUUAGAAAUUUCUUGGAUAUUUAGAGAUAUUUGUAAAAUGCAGUGUUAAAUUUUUUGCAAUCUAAUAUUUGCAUAAUUUGCAUUGGUUCUAAGUUACUAUAAAUACCUCUAAGCUCUUUGUUAUAGGCAUCAAGUGAAAAAUAAAGAAUUAGAAGAGAAAAUGAAGAGUGAGCCACCAGUAUUGUAAUAUUUCUCUUGUAAAAUAUCAAUAAAUUCCUUCGGUUUAGUAAAAUUCUUCUGUUGUCUAACUAUUUUUAGUUUUAAGCAGUUUAGUGCUCCUGAGCUUUCAACAAGCGAUGUUUGUAAAGUUGAAGUCAAUGUCCUUGCCGCUGUUAGAUGGGGCCUUUGAGCAAAAUUGAGAUAAUGAUUUUCCUUACCUUCUUUGGCAGCUUCCACCGAAGAAGCAACAAUACGUGAUACUUCACCAAGUUUAAAGGUGCUUCAAGUAAGCAAGCAAGUGCAUGUUUCCUAGGAGAGGUAGCUUCCAUGGCCCUGGAGGUAGAUUUAAUAUUGUUGAGUGAUGAUUGAUUUUUGAUUGCUUCCAGAUUCUCAGGAUCAUGCAAAUGAAAAGAAAGAAGCUCAGGAAAAUUGAAAAGGGGUGAAAUUGUAUUCCAUGUUGCAUAUGUAAGAUUUAUAGAGGCAGAGAUAAAGCAUGGCUUAACUGCAAAUGCCUGAAUUAAAUCAUCAAAAUUUAUGCAAGUUGAUGGAGCCUUGCAGCAAAUCUUUUAUCGAGAUUUUAGAGUACAUUUAUUGUAUUGCAUUCAAUUAAUAUAUGUAUGGCAUGUUUGCAAGAAUUAAUAUAACUACUAACUAUAUGAUAAUUUUUUAAAAUAAAUAUACACAUAUCAUGCAUACAUGAAGUAGAUGUAAUAUAACAAAAAUACUCUAAAAUCUCUCCACUUGAGAUGCCUUCUAACAGAUUUUGUCAUCUACCCUUAAGUGAAAAGAUUACUACCCGUAUCCAAUUUUAAAACUAGGAGGGAAGAAGAAUCAUAGCAUAUGUUAGGACUCCAACUUAUGCCUUCAAAAUUUUUUAAGGUUGUGGAUUAUUAUGCGUUAGAAGCCUGCCUUAGUUACUACGACUAGAAAUUUCUCAAGUUGUCCUUUGUGAGUAUUCAUAAGUGUGCUGCUGCAUUGUUUAUUUGUUUUUAAAAUAUUAAAAGCAUAAACACGUUUUGAACUCCCCGGGAAUAAAUCCAUGGCUACGUGGCUGGUGAUAUCAUCGUCCAUUCAUGUAAGAUACUCCUUAAUUAGAUAUUGCAGAUAGUUCUGUAUUUAUCAUUAGAAAUUCUUGAAUGCUAGAAAUUAUACAUUUAUGUUAAUAAUAUCAACUUUCCAUGACAUUUGAAAUGGAAAUGGAAAUCCUUCGAGAAAUGAACAGGAAUGGGAGAUCUUCAGACAUUCCUCACCCCUGCUUGUACCCCAAACUUUAAGUUUAUGCUAAUGUCUAUUGCGAUGGAUCUCUUUUAUUAAAAUCCGGAUCAGAUAUACCGCUCAAGUAAACCUCAACAAAUAAGGGAAAACUUGAAAAUUAGCUGUUGAAAUGUAUAUUUAAGAGAAAACUUGAAAAAAGAUCAGCCACGUUCUCGGAAGAUUCGUAUAUAUGAUAAUCCACAUUCGUCAAUUUAUUUUAUGACACGUCUGGGUUACAAUCACACGAAGCUUUCAAGAACUAACAACAAUAAUAAUAAUAAUAUGUUAAACAAAUAGAAGUCCACACAGUUUAAACAGCACAUACAUAUCAACAAUAAGCAAAAGGAGACAAGCCUGACAAUGCAUAUCUAGAAACUAGGAACACACGCGAGACUAUUAUUUCAAUUCUUCAGAAGGUGGACGAUAUGGGGUAGGCACUAAAAAAAGAUCAUUCUUCCUUCGUACUGAUCCGCCAAAAGUCUCAGCCAUGUCUAGAUCAUUGUUCUGUUCACCAUUUGGGAGUUUCCAAUUGAAAUGGAAUAGCAGUUGAGCGAGUGGAAGCUCAAUAUUAGCCAUGCCAAAAAGCAUUCCUGGACAAAUCCUUCUUCCUGCUCCAAAUGGGAUAUACUCAAAAUAAUUCCCCUUGUAAUCAAUUGAACUAUCGAGAAAUCGCUCUGGAUAGAAGCUCUCAGCAUCGUUCCAGUACCUGGGAUCCCUAGCAAUCGCCCACGCAUUAACAAUCACCUUAGAUCCUUUAGGUAUAUCAUAGCCUAAAAUCUUACACCUCUCUCCACAUUCUCUUGGCAGUAGCAAGGGAAGAGGGGUGUGCAAUCUUAGAGUUUCUUUGACAACUAAUUUUAAGUAUUGUAACUCAUGAACGCCUAUUUCAUCAACAUUUCCAUUUUUGUCAAAGGCUUGCCUCACCUCAGCUUGUGCCUUUUCCAUUACUCUUGGAUUUUUCAUCAUUUCUGACAUCGCCCAUUCUAUCACUGUGACGGACGAGUCAGUUCCAGCUAUGAAAAUAUCCUGAAAUAGGCAAUUGUGCACCUUGGUGAACUAACCAUACAGCUUAACUAAUUCAAUCUUACAAUUAACAAAAAAUAAUACAAAGAAGACUAGGUUUCUGAAUCGUAUAAUAUAAGGUACCUUAAUAUUUCGGUAAAUUUAAAUCACGAUAGAUCUAUGCACAGGGAAAAAGACUUACAGUGAUUGCAGCUUUAAUGUUUUCGGUUGUUAAGUUGAAACCAAGUUCUCCAUUUUCUUGACACCUCAACAGAACAUGCACAAGAUCAUCUGCUUCACCUUCUACAGUUUUUCCUAGUGCCUUGCCUUCUUUAUGCUCGUUGAUGAUGUUUCCAAGAAUUUUAUCUAGUUCUUGAUGCAGUCUUUCUGAUUCAGGCUUAAUCCCAGUGAGCCUCGCAAGCAAUUUAAUCGAAGGGAAUACAUCAGCAAGACUGAAACCUCCACUCAACUCGAUAGAUUUGUGGAAAACUGUCAUAAGUUCUUCUUGGUCCUGCCAUCUCACACCAAAAGCUGCUCUUGUAGUGAUGCCAUUUAUUAAGGAAAAUAUCAUCUUUGAAAGGUUGACCGGCAAUCCUAAGUUUGAAGAAAUGGAUGUAAUGAGAUUUGAUGCCUCUUCUUCCCUGAUUGAUCGGAAAGAUUGCACGCGUUUUGCACUAAACAGCUCCAAUGUGCAAAUUUUUCGCACUUGUCUCCAAUAAUCUCCAUGUGGUGCAAAUGCAAUGUUAGUAAAAUUAUAGGUGAAAAAACUAGCAGCUAGGAGAAAGGGCCUUGAGGCGAAACUCAUGUCAUGAGUUCUCAUUACUUCUUUUGCAGCUUCUGGGGAGGAAAUCACAAUAUGCGAUACCUGGCCAAGUUGCAAGUGCAUCAGUGGACCAUAUUUCUUGGCCAAAUCACCGAAGCAGUGAUGGGGCAGAGGGCCAACAAACUGAUGCAAAUUUCCUAUGACAGGCAACCUCCAAGGACCCGGGGGUAGAUUUAAUAAAGUUGAGUGAUUGUUUUUUGAUUUCUUCCAAAUCAUGAAAGCAAAAAGCAGGAAGCUUAAAAUGAUUGGAAAUGGGGGAAAUUGGUGUUCCAUGUGUAAGGGGAGAGGGUUCGCUUACUAAGGAUUAGUUAUGGAAAGCAGAUCGAUAGGCAGUCCAAUUUAAAUAGGUGCAAGUUGGUGGAGCCUCCAGUAGUUUGACUGCUUCCCAUGGGUUUUCAAUUGAAAAAUAAAAACUAAAAAAGAACAUGUGCACAGCCGCCAGCGCCAUAGCCAAAUUGCUAUUUCUUUAACAGAUUAUCCUCGAUCACGAUGUUCAUACACGUGAUUGACUAUUUAGUUUCAAAAAAUAAUAAUAAUAAAUACAUCAUCAGACACUGAAUAAUUCACAACCUCGUCCUAUUAACUCACCAUAGAAGAAACGUUUUCUUUCAGUUAUAAUAAUUACCCUUUUUUUCUUCCCUCAAAAUCAAAGGCUAAUUUUAAGGAAAUAUUUUAUGUUCCUUCAAAAACCAAAAAAAAAAAAAAAAGUAAUGUCUUAUUUAACUUGUAAGUUUAACAAAACAAAAGUCCAUUUUCCUUGUACGAAUAUCAUGAGAUCAUGGUAGAGAUGAUAAUGGAUCGGAUCUGGUCCAAGAUCCAUUUGAUUUAAAUUCAAUCAUAUCGGAUUUAGGUUAGUGUAAAAUAGAUUUAGAUUGGAUUUAUAUAUCAAUAUGCAGAUCUAAGACAGAUUUGGAGCAUGUUUGAAUUUAUCUUAAUAUCUAGAUUUAGAUCCAUAUCCACCUAUUUUAUAAUUUAAUUUAAUUUUUAAAAUUUUUUAAACAAUUGUGUAAUUAUAAAUGAUAAUAAAUUUCAUUCAUAGCAUAUUAGUGGUAUUUACCAUAUAUUUAAUUAAAUAUCUUAAAAUUUAAAUAUUAAUUUUAUAAAUUUAAAUAAUAAUAAGACAAAAAUUUAAAUGAUAAUAAAAAAAUUGUCAAUUUAUUUUAUUAUAUUGACCAAAUAACUUUUAAUGAAUAUAUUAAUUUCUCCCACACACUAGCACGUAUUGUCUCAAAAUUGACUUUCCAAAUUCUCCUUGAAAAGACUAAAGAGGCAUGUGAAAACAAUUAAAGGAAGCCUUAUAUUUUUUUUUUUUAAGUCGGCACUUGAAGUCAGCACCAUGAUUCAUGAAUUCAUGUUACGUAUUUCCCUUUAUUAUAAAAAAAAAAGGAAGCCUUUCUUCAUGAAUAAAAUUCAUGAUACCAUUCAUAAAGGGAAUAAUAUUUUUUAUAAUAAGGAAGCCUUAUAUUGUUAUACGAUACAUAAUUAAUAUAUAUAUAUUUGGCGUAUUCACGAAUUCGUGAAUCAUGAUACCAUUCAUACCAAGUGCCGCACUUUCAGUUUGCCCUAAUGUCUUUCAAUUAUUCAUAUUUUAGGUCAACUCAACGUCAGCCUUACUCCAACAAAAAAAAAUUCAAAGCAAGCCUCUUUCUUUCUCUUCAUUUUACUCUUACUUCUUUACUCUAUUUGAAUAUUUGGAUCAAUCCUUUAAUUGCCAAGUAAGUUUUUAAACUUAUUUUUUUCUAUUAUUUUCUCAUAAUAUUAUUCAUGUUACGUAAUCACUAAUUAGUGGUGGUUAUCCACAUAAUUUAAUUAAAUAAUAUUGAAUUGGGCAUAUGGCAAUCAUCAAAUUACGUAUUAGUUUUCCAUGUGGGUUAGCUUAUAUUUGAAUAUAUCUUAAAUCUGACAGUUGAUUUCAUUAAUAAUGGAUCCAUGUGAAUGAAGAUUAAAUGAGAAGAAUUCAAUUAUUUAUUUAAUUUAUGCUCCUAAUUUUAUAUAUUCAUUUACAAAUAAUUAUAUUUAUUUACUUGUCUAAUAUUGAUGUGUAAUAUUAAUUUUUGUAGUGACAUAGACGCUUAAUGUUUUUGGUUAUUUCUUUAAUUAUGUGAAAUAUGGAUUUCUGUCCUAAUUUACCAUAGUCAAAAAAUGAUGAUAAUGAUGGGUAUGAUGCUGUUGAAGUAAUUGAACCAUCAAAUGGGAUGGAGUUGAAUUUGACCUCACCAAUUCCUAGUGAUCAAACUACUGUUGUUAGUAAAAAAUUGAAGUCUAUUGUGUGGAAUAAUUUUACGAGGUAAAAGAUUAAUGGACAAUUGAUAUCAAUUUGUAACCAAUGCAAUGGAAAGUUAGUUGAACAUUCUGGAUUCAGGAAGCUUGUUGGUUCUUUACAACUCAUGUUUAAGGUAUGUUUAAGGUCAUUUCUCGAAAUACGCUAAAGAAAGAUAUGUUUAAGCGAUAUGAAAUUUCUUUAAGCGAAAUGAAUAUGAAAAGUCUAAAAUAAUAAAGUUGUUGGCGAGCAAUCAAAAUAGAAUUUAUAUUACUACUGAUUUAUGGACUUCUAAUCAGAAUAUGGGUUACAUAGUUGUCACCACACAUUUUAUAGAUAAUUCCUAAAGGCUGCAAAAUCUCUUUAUAAGGCACUUUCUAUAGCAUUUUUUAUUUAUAUCUUUGUCAUUUCCUUUUCAUUAUGAUUAAUAAAUACUCAAUUCAUAUAAUAAUAUUUUUGUUCUACUAUUUGUCAUUUUUAUUUAGGUUUAUAUAUGUGAUGUGUCCACACACUGCUGAAGUACUUUUUGAUAAUUUAAUGGAGUGCUUAUUAGAUUGAAAUAUUGAUGGAAAAUUGUGUUCUUUAACAGUUGAUAAUGCUAUUGCUAAUGAUGCUAUGGUUGACAUCCUCUUUGACAAACUUUCUAAUUCAUUGUUAUUAAAUGGGAGGUUGUUUCAUAUGCAUUGUUGUGCACACAUCUUGAAUUUGAUAGUGAAGGAUGGGGUAGAUGUCGUUAGUCAAAGUAUUGAGAGAAUUCGUAGUAGUGUUUCUUAUUGGAAAAUGACACCCAAAAGGCAUGAAAAUUUUAUGAAGGGUGUUCGUGAAUUAAAAAUUUCAAGCACCAAGCAAUUGAUUCUUGAUUGCAAAACGAGGUGGAACUCUACCUAUUAUAUGCUUGACAUUGCUGUAGGUUAUAAAGACGUGUUAUCUCGUUUAAAACUAUGAGAACUACAAUAUAAAUCAUUGCCUAGUGAAGAAAGAUUUGGAGUUUGCAAAAGAAAUUUGUUGUAGGCUUGAAUUAUUUGAUGAUGUUACAAAAUUGUUUUCUGGCACGAAAUAUCCUACAAUGAAUUUGUAUUUUUAUUAUAUUUGCGAGAUUCGAAUAUCUAUUUCUGAGUGGCUAGGUUCUAACAAUGAUAAACUAAGGAUAAUGGCAAAGAAAUGUUAGAAAAAUAUGACAAAUAUUGGAGUCUGGUUAAUGAGUUAAUUGCAGUGGCAACUGUUUUGGACCUUAGAUAUAAGAUGAAACUAGUAGAAUAAUAUUUUCCUAUGCUUUAUGGAGUUGAUUGUGAACAUAGAAUUGAGAGUGUCCAUAAAUAUUGUUAUGAUUUAGUGAAAGGAUAUCAGUUAAAGUCAAAAUCAUAUGAACAUGUUCAUCAAUCUAAUGAGCCUUAAUUACUCCAUCCCGUAUGGAGGCAUUUCAUUUAGGAAGGGAACAACAACGUCGAGCUAGUUUUGAGACAUUUAUUAGUCAAAGUACUAGUACUGACCAUGUGAAGUUUGAGCUAGAGUAUUAUUUGGAGGAAUCUGUCUUGCCUCGAACUAAUAACUUUGACAUAUUGGGUUGGUGGAAGGCAAAUGGAUCUAAAUAUCUUAUUUUGUGCAAUGUUGCUAGAGAUAUUUUGACUAUUCAUGUAUCCACAGUUGCAUCUAAAUUUGCAUUUAGUACCAAUGGUAGAUUUGUGACACCACAUCGCAAUAGACUCUGUCCAAAUACAUUAGAAGGUUUAAUGUGUUGUCAAGAUUGGUUGUUGGCUGAAGAUGCUGGUACGAAUUUUUAUAAUUGAAUUCUUUAUUUUAUAUUAACUAUUUUUUGUCUAACUAAUUUAAUUUUUAAUUAAUUUUUGUGCUCAGAAUUAAAUUUGUGUUCUUCAACACAUACCAAAUUGAUAUACUCAGAAGAUGUGGACAUGGAUGAGGUACAAUUAACUAUAUCAUUCAUAUAUUUAGUUAAAUAUAGUCAUAAUAAAAAUAAGAAAAGUAUUAAAUAUAAAUCAUAUUUAACUUAUAUGACAUUAUCUAAUAUUGUAGGAAUGAUAAUGGUUGUGCUGUGAUAUAAAGAUGAUGGAGACAAUAGAAUAUUAUAUUGAUCUUACUCUUGCAUUUUUUUUAUUACCUUUCUUAUUUACUUGUUUUGGUGUAAAAGCAUAAACUACAAUAUUUAUUAGACUUUUUAGACAAAUUAUAUAAUUUAAUCGUUACCAAUACAUUUUAGUCUUUAAUAUUCAUUCUAAAAAAUUAUUACUCUUUUAUUGUAAAAUUUUAGAAUUCAUGACAGAUUUAGAGCAGAUUUGGAUUUUAAUUAUUUUUUUUAGAUUUGGAGCGGAUAUAGAUAUUUAUUUCUUUUUUGGAUCUGGAUAUGGAGCCAAAAACAUAGGUCUAUGAUGGAUCUGAAGUAAAUACGGAUCUCAAUUUUUAUUAUGAAUUUAGAUUUGGAGUAAAGUAGAUCCAAUUCAUAUCUACCACAAUAACAUCCCUAGAUCAUGGUAUCUCUUUCUUAUGUACCCCAUUUUGGCAUAUUAUAUUUUUAGGAGCUGGCUACUGUAGAUUAUCUGUUACGUACACACCCAACGGUGGAAGGACACACAUACACAGGAGAGGGAAAUUGCUUACCAAAUGCACCCUUUGUGAAGCUGGCUAAGGUGCAGCUGUUAGGUAUAGCGUCUGUACCCUAGCCAUCUCCAUAUUUUUAACCUAUUCAAUGAUAUUUGGCUUUUGUCGUGUAUUGGGAAAAAAAUGAUGAAUAAAAUGUGACAACUUGCAGUUGCAAAAGAUUUAGUCAUACAGGGACCUGUCUAUGGACCUGUCUAUGGUCAUAUAGUCAUUUAGUCAUAUAGACUCGACUAGCUUACAGAAUCUGUAAGGUACAGACUGCAGCAUCAGCCGUUGGAUGUGGUUGGAUGUGGAGCGAGAAACUAAACAAUAGAAAAUCGGAUGGUGGGAUGACGGGAGAUGUUUGUUACAGAAUCUGUACCAUAGACAGGUCCUAGUCAUAUAUGCUGGCUUUGAGACCCGAUUUUUUGCCGUAUAUUUUGAUAAUUAAAGAUUCUUUUAAUUUAUAUAUUGAGAAAAAGUUCCGUGAAAUAAGAGUCCGCCUAACAUACAGCUAACGCGCUCUACAGCUGCUGUGUAAAAUUUCAUUGAGCCCCUUAUUCUCUAUAUUAUUUACAAUUUAUUCAUAAAUAUUAUAACAUUUUCUGUAUUGUACAAUUUCGUUAGCCCCUUAUACUCUAUUUUAUUUUAGUAAAACCCUUAGAGUACGAAUUCGCCUCUUAUAAUUUUUAAAAUUUCAAAAUACCCUCCAUUUAAUAAUUAUUUUGUUGUAAUUAUAAAUAUAAUUAUAAUUUUUAAAUAGAUGAUUAUUAUUAUUAUUAUUUAUUAACAAGAAUAAAAAUUAUUAUAAUUAAUUAAUAUAUUAACAAUAAUUUUAUUAAUUAAUUUUUAUUAAUUACGAUAAUACAAAUGAUAUUCAAAGCUUCCAUUCUUUUCGGAUCAAAAGAAAAGGAAUUUUGUUUCCCAAGUUUUUGGUCAUGCAUAGGGUGGUCCUUCAUACUUAAUUCUUUGACAUAAAUGAACGGAUCAUACAUAUAAUAUUUUGCCCAAAAAAGAAAAUUAAAAAAAAAAACUCUUUUAUUUGAAUAUAUCAUUUUGUUAUGAAUUUCUAACAAUAAAAUUUUUAAUUAUUGUGAUUAUUAUUAUUAAAAAAUUAAUUAAUUAUUAUUAUUAUUGUUAAUUAUUAUUGAUAAUUCAACUAAAAACUUAUUAUUGAUUAUUGUUAAUAGAUUAAUUAAUUAUAAUACUUUUUAUUCUUGUUACUAAUAAUAAUAAUAAUAUUUCAUUUUAAAAUUAUAAUUACAUUUAUAAUUAUAACAAAAUAAUUAUUAUAAUUGUAAUUAUAAUCCAUACAAUAAUUAUAUUUUUUAAUUAAAUGGAGAGUAUUUUGGGAAUUUAAAAAUUAUAAGGGGCGAAUUAGUACUCUAAUGGUUUCAAGGAAAUAAAACAGAGUACAAGAGACUAACUAAAAUUGUACAAUUUAGAAAGUUUUAUUAUACUUAUAAAUAAAGUGUGAAUAAUAUAGAGUAUAAGGGGCUCAAAGACGUUUUACACAACAACUAUAAGUUGCGUUAGCUGUAUCUUAGGCGGACCCAUGAAAUAAAUAUAGUUACACAUAACUUACAGAUGAUUUUGUCUUUUCUGAAUUGUUACUCUAAACUAUCGUUAAGCCCCUUGUACUGUAUAUUAUUUACAACUUGUAACUAAGUAUUAUAAAACUUUAUGCAUUGUAAAAUUUCGUUCAGCCCCUUGUACUCUGUUGUAUUUCAUUGAAACCUUUAGAGUAUCAAAUAUAUCCCCUAUAAUUUUUAAAUUUCUAAAAUACCCUCCAUUUAAAUAAAAUAUAAUAAUUAUUAAAUGGAUUAUAAUUAUAAUUUUUAAAUGGAUUAUUAUAAUUAUUAUUAAUAACAAUAAUAAAAAGUAUUAUAAUUAAUUAAUCUAUUAACAAUAAUUAAUAAUUAAUUUUUUAAUAAUAAUAAUCACAAUAAUUAAAAUACAAAAUUAUUAUUAUUAUAAAAUUAAUUAAGGAUUUUAUAGUAAUUUGUUAUAAUUUAACUCAUUUCAAUUUUGAUUCUAAGACAAAGUAAACACAUAAAUGGUAAUAUAGCUCAGUUUAAUUACAAUUUGUGCAAUUCAAAUAAAUAAAUUAUUCUGAAUCAAAUUCCUUAUUUCAAUUUUAGCUAAUUUUGAUUCUUAUUUAGUGAAUGCAUUAUAAAAUUGUAAACAUUUCAUUUUUUUCUCAUUUCUUUUUCCCAUCUCUCACUCUCUUUCUCUGUGAUAAGUCUAAUGGUGGCUUCAAUUAUCGAUAAAGAUUGCUGAUGAAGAUAAAUAAAUAGUGGAGAGGGAUGGAUUCAAAGGAAGUUUACUUUUAAUUUUGUUAAUCCUUUUAUCAUGAAAGUACUAAUUAUUAUGAGAUGAUAUUAUAAAGAAGAUGAAUGGUAAUAUCCUUGAAAAUUUUUUUGAUGACUAAUAUCCUUGAAGGCUACUAUAAAAUCCUUUAUUAAUUUUUAUCAUAAUUAUUAUUUUUUUAUUUUAAUUAUUGUGAUUAUUAUUAUUAUUCAAAAAUUAAUUAUUAUUAAUAAUUAUCGUUAAUUGUUAUUAUUAAAAAUUUAACUAAAAAUUAGUAUUAAUUAUUGUUAAUAGAUUAAUUAAUUAUAAUACUUUUAUUAUUAUUAUUAAUUAUAAUUAUAAUCCAUUUAAUACUUAUUAUAUUUUAUUUAAAUGGAGGGUAUUUUGGGAAUUUAAAAAUUAUAGGAGAUGGAUUUGAUAUUCUAAGAGUUUCAAUGAAAUAAAACAAAGUGCAACAGGCUGAACAAAAUUUUACAAUGCAGAAAGUUUUAUAAUACUUAUUAAUAAAUUAUAAAUAAUAUAAAGUCCAAGGGGCUUAACGAUAUUUUACCGUAACAAUUCAAAAAGGACCAAAGCAUUUGCAAGUUACGUUAACUGUAAAUUAGGGAGAUCUGAGAGAGAAUAUAUACAUAUUGUUCUUCUCUAGUGCAUAUAUCCUCUUUUUUUUUUUUUUUUUAUGUGGACAUGAUUUUAUAGUGUCAUUGCAGAUACACUAUCCUCAAGUGAGUGCACCCUCAAUUUUUUAAUGCGAACAAUUUGUUAAACCUUGCGGCUUAAAAUGACUAAUUUUCAAUUAACUAUAAAGUCAAGAAAAAGCAACACAAUCUAAUGCAUAAUAAGACAAAAUACAUUGCAGUAGAGUAUGUUUUUUUUUCAUUUUUUCAGCUUGUUCCUUACUUUAAUAUAUAAUAAGGGAUCCCUUAUUGCAAUUUUAUAUUAUAUAACUACACAGUCAUUAUCUAAUAAGAGGAUCCCUUAAGUUAUUAAAAUAAAGGAUUAACUAAAGGAAGAGUAAAAUACACACCCCAAGGUAGCAUAUUCUAUCUUAUAAUGUAUCGGAGUGUGUGUUUUUCUUUUUUUACUUUAGCUCUUACACUUUAGCUCUUACUUUAACAACUUAAAGAAAUCAUGAUUGAAAAAUUAUAUUGUAACUAUUUAAAUUUGGCCUAAUGUAAUAUAAGGUUAAGGUUAGGAAAAAGAGUUGGACUAUUGACACUCAUUCAUUAAUCUUAUAAAAACCAUGUUAUAUUACAAUUAUAUUUAAGGACAAAAAUAAAUAGGAUUAACCUCAUUUAUAUUUUCUUUCUCUCUUCAAUAUUAUUUUGCUUGCACAUUAUAAAUUUCUUUUAUUAUCAAUAAAAUAAUCCGAAUUUAAGAAGUAAUCCUCUAAGUCAAAAUAAGAUUCUUGUAAUAUACAUAGCAACAAAAUUAGGAUACAACGAGUGGGAAAAUAAAUUAAAUAAAUUUUAUCUUGCUACAAAUAAUUUUUUAAGAAUUCUCAAAUUAUUUUUUACAAUCAAUGUUUGUAGCUACGAUAAAAUUAUACCAGACCCAUAAAAUAUUCAUUAUGUUCUAAUGUUUUUCUUGCUUUUUCUUUCAGAUACUUUUCCUUAGAAAUUAAAUAAUAAAAAAAGUUUGAAGAGAGGAAUAUAAUUAUUAAGACUGAAAGAGUAAGAAAGUUAUUAGAAAUGGCAAGAUUUAUAACUUAAAAGAAUGUUUAUUUAAAAAAAAAAGGAUAUUUUUGCCAUUAAGUAGAAUAUAAUUGAAAAAAAAAUAUUUUGAGAGAAUUUUGUGGGAAUGCUAAUAGUCUAACUUUGGAAGCGGUAAUUGUUAUUAAUUUUAUUUAACAAUUAAUGGACCUGAGCUGUCAGUUUAUUUUUAAAAAUUGUAAAAUCAUGCAGUUUCAAGAGGUGGGAAAUUGUAGGACCUUAUUGGUUUAUUUUAAUUUUUUAGUAGUUUUUUUUUUAAAUUUCUUUCUUAUUUGAAUUAGGUUUCUUAUUGCAAUUAUGAUUUAGAGUUAUAAUUAGAUGAGAAUUAGGAUUGUGUUGAGUUACUAUAAAAAAGUAGUUUUGUUAACAUUUAUGUAUUCAUAAUGUUGAUUUUGAUGAUAACAAACAAAAUAAAGAAUGGUUAAAUUUUUAAAAGCUCAAAUUAUUUUUAUACAUUUUAAAUAAAAUCAUUAUUUUCACAUUGCAAUAUUAAGCCACUGAAGCAAUCCAAUGGACGGAAACACAUCUGCAAUAUUAAAACCUGAUAUCACUUUUGUUGUUUCCUGUAUAACUGUGACAAACGCUUCUUGGUCUCUGGAUCUGUUUCCAAAGGCUGCCCUUGAAGUGAUACCAUACAUUAAUGAGUGAACGUUCUGAGUUAAGUUAAUAACUGAUCCAGCUUUUGAAGAAAUCCAAUUAAUGAGAUCAGACACUUCUGCUUCUCUUAUUGAUUGGAAAGAUUGGACUCUUUUGGCGCUCAAAAGCUCAGAUACACAGAUUUUUCGCAGUUGUUUCCAAGAAUCACCAUAUGAUGAAAAGAUUAUAUCACGAUAAUUAUAUGACAAGAUUUGUGCUGCUGGAAAAUGAGGCCUGGAUGCAAAGACAACAUCAUGGGUUUUCAUAACCUCUUUGGCAACCUCUGGGGAAGAUACAAUAAUGGUUGGAACUUCCCCGAGUUGUAGGAGCAUAAGAGGUCCAUAUUUCUUGCUCAAGUCUCUUAGUCCAUGAUGGGGUAGGGAGCCAGCAAGCUGGUACAAAUUUCCUAUAACAGGUAAUUUCCAUGGCCCUGGUGGUGGAUUUGAGAUUCUGUUAU